This is a non-coding RNA of Phrynosoma platyrhinos (Desert horned lizard), 72 nucleotides long. The record is from the annotation of a GenBank genome assembly. NCBI's taxonomy places the organism in Eukaryota, Metazoa, Chordata, Lepidosauria, Squamata, Phrynosomatidae.
GCCAAUGUGGCAUAUUGGUUUCAGUGCUGGACUGCGACUUUGGACACCGGGGUUCAAUUCCCAGCUUGGCCA